Molecule: ribosomal RNA, 397 nt
Filed under: uncultured bacterium
Lineage: Bacteria
Description: partial 16S ribosomal RNA
Rfam family: Bacterial small subunit ribosomal RNA
Source: RNAcentral
AUACGUAGGGGGCGAGCGUUGUCCGGAAUGACUGGGCGUAAAGGGCGUGUAGGCGGCCGAUUAAGUCUGGAGUGAAAGUCCUGCUUUCAAGGUGGGAAUUGCUUUGGAGACUGGUUGGCUUGAGUGCGGAAGAGGUAAGUGGAAUUCCCAGUGUAGCGGUGAAAUGCGUAGAGAUUGGGAGGAACACCAGUGGCGAAGGCGACUUACUGGGCCGUAACUGACGCUGAGGCGCGAAAGCGUGGGGAGCGAACAGGAUUAGAUACCCUGGUAGUCCACGCGGUAAACGAUGAAUGCUAGGUGUAGGGGGUAUCGACCCCUCCUGUGCCGGAGUGAACACAAUAAGCAUUCCGCCUGGGGAGUACGGCCGCAUGGUUGAAACUCAAAUGAAUUGACGGGG